ACGCCGCGUGAGUGAAGAAGGUUUUCGGAUCGUAAAGCUCUGUUGUAAGUCAAGAACGUGUGUGAGAGUGGAAAGUUCACACAGUGACGGUAGCUUACCAGAAAGGGACGGCUAACUACGUGCCAGCAGCCGCGGUAAUACGCAGGUCCCGAGCGUUGUCCGGAUUUAUUGGGCGUAAAGGGAGCGCAGGCGGUCAGGAAAGUCUGGAGUAAAAGGCUAUGGCUCAACCAUAGUGUGCUCUGGAAACUGUCUGACUUGAGUGCAGAAGGGGAGAGUGGAAUUCCAUGUGUAGCGGUGAAAUGCGUAGAUAUAUGGAGGAACACCAGUGGCGAAAGCGGCUCUCUGGUCUGUCACUGACGCUGAGGCUCGAAAGCGUGGGUAGCGAACAGGAUUAGAUACCCUGGUAGUCCACGCCGUAAACGAUGAGUGCUAGGUGUUAGGCCCUUUCCGGGGCUUAGUGCCGGAGCUAACGCAAUAAGCACUCCGCCUGGGGAGUACGACCGCAAGGUUGAAACUCAAAGGAAUUGACGGGGGCCCGCACAAGCGGUGGAGCAUGUGGUUUAAUUCGAAGCAACGCGAAGAACCU
RNAcentral lists this ribosomal RNA (586 nucleotides) under Streptococcus mutans. Its description in RNAcentral is "bacterial SSU rRNA". It matches the Rfam family "Bacterial small subunit ribosomal RNA", at positions 394 to 971 of the family's 1533-position model. Lineage: Bacteria; Bacillati; Bacillota; Bacilli; Lactobacillales; Streptococcaceae. The record is from RNAcentral.